RNAcentral lists this ribosomal RNA (130 nucleotides) under uncultured bacterium. RNAcentral's name for it is "partial 23S ribosomal RNA". It matches the Rfam family "Bacterial large subunit ribosomal RNA", at positions 1 to 130 of the family's 2925-position model. The record is from RNAcentral.
AAGUCAAGCUAAUAAGGGCAUACGGUGGAUGCCUUGGCGCCAAGAGCCGAUGAGGGACGCGGUAAGCUGCGAAAAGUCAUGGGGAGUCGCAAGCAGGCUUUGAUCCAUGAAUCUCCGAAUGGGGCACCCA